CAGUUUGUAACCUGGCCUGGCCUUCUGUGGAAUUUGGGUAGAAACUUAAUGUCAUCUGGCCUACCAGGUAUUGAAUCUCACCAUCCAGGCCUGGAAUCUUACUCUCCAAAUAUGGAACCCGGACUUCCAAGUAUAAAAUAAGGAUUAGCCAUCAUGAAACAUGUUCUAUAGAACCCGAAUCAUAAGGCAAUCAUCUGGACCUCCAAUUAUACAAUGUGGUGGGCAUUAGGCCUAGAAUUUGACAUUCCAACUAUGGAAUCUGUAUUUCUAGGCAUGAAAUAUGGCCAAGAAAGUAAUGAAUCCUGAUCUACAGAAGUGGAAUCUUACUCUUCAUGUUGGGAUUUGUAUUAGUUAGAAUUCCCCAGAGAAACAGAACCAAUAGGAUAUAUAUUUAAGUCCCAGAGUCCAAAGGCCAGAGAAGCAGAAGCUCCAGUGUCUAAGGGCAGGAGAAAAUGGAUGUUCCAGCUCAAUAAGAGAGAGCAACUUUGUCUUUUCUUAACCUUUGUGUUCUAUUGGGCCGUUGUGGAUUGGACGAUGCCCACCCACAUUGAUGACAAUGGUCUUCUUUACUCAGUCUAUCAAUUUAAAUGUUAACCUCUUCCAGAAAUGCCCUCACAGAUACACCCAGAAAUAAUGUUUUACCAGCUAUCUGGGCAUUCCUUAGCUCAGUCAAGUUGACACAUAAAAUUAACUAUUGCAAGAACUUUACCAUCUAUAGGUAAAACCUGUCUUGCAGAGUGUGGAAAUGUAAACUUCCAAGCUAUUACUUCAUCCUCCAUUUGUAAAACUCUACCUCCAGGUAUAGAACCUGGCACACCAUGACUGUAAUCUCAACCUCCAAGGAUGGAUCCUGACUAUACAAGCAUGGAACCUAGCAAUCCAUAUUCAGAAUCAAAAUCUCAAAGCAUGGAAAAUCGUAAUAGGCUGAAACCUGAAAUUGCACAGACAGAACUUGUGUGCCAUUCACAGAAGUUGGAUUUCCUUGCAUGGAAUCUGUUAUGCCAGGCAUAGAACUAGGGACUCCAUAUGGAAUCACAAUAUCCAUGCAUAAAAUCUGGCCCUACAAGCAUGGGACAUGGCACUCUAUGUGUGGAAUCUCAAUCUUCAACAUGGAACAGACCCACAAGCAUAAAACCUAACAUUUCAUAUUUGGAAUCUCAGUGUUGAGCAUGGAACAUGACCUUAAAAGUGUGGAAUCUGGCACUCCAGUCAUGACACCUGGCAUGUUUAUUAUAGAUCUUGGCUUUCCAAGAUCAGGAACCUCAUUUCCCAUACAGGGAAACUGGCAGUCCAUGUACGGAAACUCAAUCUCCAAAAAUUGAACCUGGCCCUAGUAGCACAGAACUGGGACUCAAUGGAUUAAAUCUCUAACUCUAAGCAUGGAACAUGGCUUCACAAGUGUGUGACCUGUCACCCCAGACAUGAAACCUAGAGUUUCAGUUGUAGAAGUUUGCUCACUAAAACAUGAAGCUUGGCCUCCAAACCAUGAACCUGGCACCAGCUGUUUGGAAUCUCAACUCUAACAUGGAACAUGGUCAUACAAGUAUGGAACCCAGGAAUCCAUGUAUGAUACUUCAAUAUCUAGGUAUGGAAUUUGGCCCUACAAGCAUAGAAUCUGGCACCGCAUGUAUGGAUUUCAAUAAUCAUCUAACCUUGCAGUUCAUACAUGGAAUCUGGUACUGCAUUUAUGGAAUUUCAAUCUCCAAGCAUAGAAUCUAUAUACUUAAAGCAUGAAACUUGGCCCUAUGAGCAUUCAACAUGGCACCCCAUGUGUGGAAUCUCAAUCUUCUAGUAUAACGUGGCCUUAUAAAUGUGGAAUCUGGCAUUCCAGGCAUGAAACCUUGGGUUUUAGUCAUAGAAGUUGGCUCUCCAAGCCUUAAAAACCUAUUUCCCCAGGCAUGGAACCUGGCAAUGCAUGAAUGAACUCUCAGUCUCUGAGUGUGAAACUUGAACUACUAAUGCUGAAAUUGGUACUUACUGUAUAAGAACCUCAAUACUCAACCACGGGACCUGGCCCUAAAAGCAAGUAACUUAGCAUUAUAUGUAUGGAAUCUCAAAACUCCAUCCAUGAAAACUGGCCUUACCGUCAUGGAAUCUUGCACUCCAUGUAUGAAACCUAGACUUGCAGGCAUUUCAUUAAUUGGGACGUCCAUAUAAGCCCCACCCCUACAAACACGGAAACUGGUACUGUGUAUAUGAAUUCUCAAUCUCCAAAUAUGGAACAUACCCUUACAAGUGUGGAAUCUGUCACUCUAGCUAAAACUCCGGGCAUGGAAACUGGCAUUUGAGUCACAGAAGCCAACUCUACAUGCAUGGAACCUGGUCUCCCAGAUACGGAAUCUGGCACUCUGUGUAUGGAAUAUCAAUCCCCAGCCAUUGAACCUGACCAUAUAAACAUGGAACCUGUACUCCAUUUAUGAAACAUGGACUUUCAGAGAUAUAUUUAGCUCUCCUAGGUGUAAAUCCUGCCUUUUUAUGCAUAUAUAUUCUGCUCUUCCGCAUAAAACCUGGCUCUAUAAACAUGGAAAUUGGGUUUCCAAUUAUGAAACCUGACUUUCCAGGGUUGGAAAGUAGCUCCUGAUGUGAAUCCUGCCUCUCUAGUACCCAGGAGCAGCAAGAAACACUGAAUUUUGGAGUCUUAUCUGGAAAAGACUUGGAAUUGUAAUCCCCCACUUACUGACUGUAAGAGCCUUGGAUCUGUUCCUGAAAACAUGGUGUUCAAGUUGAACAUAUGAAAACAGAACUUCUUUCUUCUUCAAUGGAAGUGACACCUAACAAUUUGGAUUUAGAUUUCUCUGCCUCUUACAUCUACUGCUUGAUAAUGUAGAAACCAACAUUCAAAUCCAGGGAAGCAAAUCCUUUUUUAAAAGAUUUGAUUAAAUUAUCUGAGGAUAAAUUGUGCCUUGUUUUUUAUUUUUAACUAUAUUUUUGAGAGGGAGCUUCACAAACUCUUUAUUAUUCCCUUAAGAUCCAACUUUUGGUUCUUAUGACAUCAGUUUCAGAUGAGGACGCACAAGUCACUGUUCCCAUUACUAUAUUGGGAGGGUGGGGUUCUGAAAAUGUGCAAUGUGAGUGGUGAGUCUUUGCUGGAAGGGUACUAUCUUCUCAUCUACCAAAGGGAAGGUGAGUAGAAAAUUCCUAAAACUAAAAAAUCAAGAAGUGGCAGUAUCUAUUUGUUAUUUAAAAAUAUCAAGGUUAAUAGCAAAUAAAUCUACUAAAUUGAAUUUAAAAUGAUGACCUACAUCAAGAAAUACCAUAAGUCAAGUAAAAAGAUCAGUGACAAAAUGGGAAAAAAUAUUUGCAACUUAAAUGUCAGACAAAGGUUAAUUUCCAUGGUAUAUAAAGUUUCUCAAAAAGGAUAAUUAAAAAGGUCAGCAAUCACAGAAGAAUCAGCUAGAGAUAUCAAUAAUUAUUAGAAAAAGAAAUGCAAAUGGCCCUUAACAUUAUGAAAAGAUGUCCAACCUCACUUAAAAGGCAUUCAAAUCAAAGCUAAACUGAGAUACUAUUUUAGACUUAUCAAAUUGGCAAAAAUCCAAAAUUUAAGAAUACUCUGUUGGCAAGACUGGGAAAACAGACACUCUCAUGCAUUCCCAGUCAUAAUGCAAAUUGGUUCAAUCCCUACAGAGGAUAAUUUGGCAAUAUAUAGCAGAAUUGUUUAUGCAUAUACCCUUAACCCAGGAAUCUCACUUCUAGGCGCCUAACACAAAGAUUAUACUAGUGAAAUAUGAAAAGAUACACACACACACACACACACACACACAAAAAAAACAUACAUACAUAUAUAUCUUUAUACAUAGAUCUAUUUAUCUAUGUAUAGAAAGAGGCAAUUUAUUAUAGCACUAUUUGUAAUAGCAAGACUGGAUACAAUCAGAAUGCCUGUCAAAGGUGACUGGAUGAAUAAAGUAUGGUACUUCCAUACACUGGAGUAUUAAAAAAACUGCAAAAAGGAAAGAGAAACAUCUCUGAAUUCUCCCAUGAAGUAGUCUGCAGGAUAUGUUAAAUGAAAAAAAGAAUUACAAAAAAUAUACAGUAUGCCACUUACAUCAAAAAUGUCUUGCCAUGCCAGAAAGCAAUAGAGCUAUCAAAGAAUGCUAAGACUUUAUAGAAAGGACUCAGGAUAAAAUGGCACAGCCAAUUUUGAAAAAGUUUGGCAGUUCCUCAAAAACGUGAACAGAGUUAUCGUAUAACCCAGCAAUUUCAUUCCUAAGUAUAUACCCCCAAAAUUAACAACGUAUGUCCACACAAAAACUUGCACAUGAAUGUUCACUAGCAGCAUUAUUUGUAACCUGCCCAAGGUGGAAACAACCCAAAUGUCUAUUGACUGAUAAAAGAUAAAAUGUGGUAUAUCCAUACAAGGGAAUAUUAUUUAUCCAUAGAUAGGAAGUACUGCUACAUGUUAAAAUAUGGAUGAACCUUGAAAACACUCUGCUAAGUGAAAGAAGCCAGUCACAAAAGGCCACAUAUUAUAUGAUUUCAUUUGCAUGAAACGCCCAGAACAGGAAAAUCUGUAGAGACAGAAAGUAGAUUGGUAGUUGUCAGGAGCUGGGAGUGGGAGGGGGAAUGGGUAGCGACUGCUAAUGGGUAUGUGGUUUCUUCUUCGGGUAAGGCAGUUAUCCUGAAAUUAGAUGGUGGUGAUAGUUGCACAACUUUUUGAAUAUACUAAAAACCAUUGGCCGGGCGUGAUGGCUCACGCCUGUAAUCCCAGCACUUUGGGAGGCUGAGGGGGCGGAUCACAAGGUCAGGAGAUUGAGACCAUCCUGGCUAACAUGACUAAAAAUACAAAAAAUUAGCCGGGUGUGGUGGCAGGCACCUGUAGUCCCAGCUACUCGGGAGGCUGAGGCAGGAGAGUGGUGUGAACCUGGGAGGCGGAGCUGGCAGUGAGCCGAGAUUGUGCCACUGCACUCUAGCCUGGGCGACAGAAAGAGACUCCCCCGCAAACAAACAAACAAACAAAAAAACCCAUUGAACUGUACAAUUUAAAAUGGUGACUUUUAUGGUAUAUUGAAUUGUUUCUCAAUUAAAAAGGCAUAUACAUUAGGGCUGGGCAUGGUGGCUCAUGCCUGUAAUCCCAGCACUCUAGGGGGCUGAGGCAGGAAGACAACUUGAGUUCAGGAGCUCGAGACCAGCCUGGCCAAUACGGUGAAAUCCUAUCUCUACUAAAAAUACAAAAAUUAGCGGGGGCAUGGUGGUGGGCACCUGUAAUCUCAGGUACUCAGGAGGCUGAGGCAGGAGAAUCGCUUGAACCCAGGAGGUGGAGGGUGCAGUGAGCCGAGAUCAUGCCAGUGCACUCCAGCCUGGGAGACAGAGCGAGACUGUCUCAAAAAAAAAAAAAGAUAUAUACACUAAAUUUUUAAAGAAAAUAUUCAUUGAUAAACAAAAAACAACACAAAAGGACUAAGGUACCAACAUAAAUCAGCUCCAUUUGCCAAAGUCGGGACAAUUUGAGCAUCAAAGUAGUAACUAUAAGUGACUCAAACAUAUAAAAUAUGUUUAAAUCCAUGAUUUGGCCAGGCGUGGUGACUCAUGCCUGUAAUCCUAGCACUUUGGGAGGCAGAGGCGGGUGGAUCACGAGGUCAGGAGUUCAAGACCAGCCUGGCCAAGAUGGUGAAACUCCAUCUCUACUAAAAAUACAAAAAAAAUUAGCCGGGCAUGGUGGCACACACCUGUAAUCCCAGCUACUCCGGAGGCUGAGGCAGAGAAUUGCUUAAACCUGGAAGGGCGGAGGUUGCAGUGAGCCGAGAUCGUGCCACUGCACUCCAGCCUGGGCAACAGAGCAAGACUCUGUCUCAAAAAAAAAAAAAAAUCCAUGAUUUGAAGAAUUCCAGAAAACAAAUUUAUUAUCUUGAAAACUAUUAAUAAUAGAAAAAGAAGCAUUUAUUCUGUCUUUUCUGUACAAACUAUGCCUAAGGAUAACCAAAUAGUUAAUGAGAGAAGAUUCUCUUUACAGAAUUAUUUAAAGUAAUAAACAAUGAAGCAAUAAUAGAAUAUGAUCAUUUUGCAAUUCUGAUGAAUUAUUGGAUCUGUGCAAUAAUUAACAAUGGCUGAUAACAUCACAGAAAGAGAGACAAUCACACAUUACAUAUGAUGCACCCAAUAACACCUAUGAAACACUCUUGCUAAAAAACUAAACUAAACAAAUCUAACCAGAAUCUAAUCAGGCAUCAGCAAACAAAGAAACUUGUUAAACAACUUAACAGGGAUGCAAUUUUGAAAACAUACAUCAUGGGAAAUUCUACAAAACAAUCUGGUUUCUUCAACAACAACACUGCAAGGAACAAAGCAUACAAAGGGAUGGCAGUGUAAUCUACAAAUCACAGACCUAAGAGACACAUUAAACAAUGCCAGUGCAUGAACCUUAUUUGAAUCUGGAUUCAAACAAAUAAACCACUAAAAAUUUAAAGACAAUAAAACAUUGUUUUUAGACAAUUAAGAAUUUAUGAACACUGACAAAAUAUGUGAUAAUGUUAAUGAAUUAUUAAUAGUUUUAGAGAUUGUGAUGGUUAAUUUUAUGUAUCAACUUGACUGGGCCAUGGGGGUCCAGAUAUUUGGUCAAACAUUAUUCUGAGUAUGUUUGUUAAACAUUAUUCUGGGUGUGUUUUUGGAUGAGGUUAACAGUUAAAUCAAUAAACUGAAUAAGGUGGAUUGCUCUUCUUUGAUGCAGGUGGGCCUCAUCCCAUCAGUAAAGGCCUGAAUAGAACAAACAGGCAGAUCCUCCCUUGAAUAAAAGGGAACUCUUUGUGCCUUACUGCUUACACUGGGAAAUGUUGUUUUCCCAUCUUGAAGCCCCAGUUGGAAAAUCUGUUCUCCUUGAGUCUCAAGCCUGCUGGCUUUCAGACAGGAACUGACACCAUUAGCUCUCCUGGUUCUCAAGCUUUCAGACUCAGACUGGAACUAUACUUUGCCUCUCCUUGGUCUCCAGCUUGCCAAUUGUAGAUUUUGGGAUGUCUCAGCCUCUAUAAAUUAUGUACCUAAUUUCUUAUAACAAAUCUCCUCUCUCUCUUUCUUUACACACACACACACACACACACACACACACACACACACACACACACAAAUCUCCUAUUGGUUCUAUUUCUCUGGAGAACCCUGACUAAUACAGGGAUGGUAAGGUGUUAUAGUUAUAGUUAAGAGUCCUUAUCCUUUAGAAAUACAUAUAUGAAAUACUUACAGAUAAAAUGAUAUGAUGUCUGACAUUUGCUUCAAAAUAAUCUUAGGAUGGAAGGAAAUGGAUAAAGAUUUAGAUGAAACAGACUGGCUAUCUGUUGGUAAUUGUUAAAGCUGGGUGAUGGAAGCAUGGGGUUUCCUCAUGCUAUUCUCUCUGCUUUUGUAUAUGGAUACAGUUUUCUUUAGUGAAAAAGUAAAAAAUGGAAGAAAACGAAAAAUAGGAAAUUGAAAAAUAUUAGUAGUAUGGGGAAUUACUUUUUCUCAUAACCACUACUGUAGAAUAAUUUGACUCUUUAUAAUAUGUGUGUGUGUAAAACUAAGUAUCUUUUAAAAAUUAAAAAGUGAAGAGAACCUACCAUAAAUAUAAUAUGUAAUGGUGAAACUUUAGAUGCAUUCUCAUUAAAGGUAGAAACAUCAACGAUUCCUGCUCUUUGACAUUGUACUGGAGUCUUAGCCUUUGCAAUAAGACAAGAAAAAGAAGAGCUAAAUAGAAUAGGAGAAAAAAAUUAUUGUUGUUUGCAGACAAUACUGUAUGUAUAGAUAAUCCAAAAUUAUUUACAAACUGCAGGAAAACUGCUGGAUAUAAGAGCAAGACACAAAAAUCAAUAUUGUUCCCAUAUAUUGGGAAUAACCAAUAGUAAUUAGAAAAUGUGGUAUAACAAAAUUAUAUACACAAUGGCAACAGAAACUGUAAGGUACAUAGAAAUAAAUCUAUCAAAAGGUGGGAAGACAUUUUUGAAGAAAAUUAUAAAACAUUAUUGAAGGACAUAAGAAUAGACCUGAAUGAAAUCAUAAAUAUAUCAAUUAUUUCCCAAAUUAAUCUCUAAAGUCAAUGCCUCAAACCAGAAACUCAAUAACAGAACUUUUUUGGAACCCAAUAAACUGAUACCAAAUUUCACCAUUUCAAAAUUUUGAGAAACAUUUUAAAAAUAAGAACAAAGGGAGGCUUGUUUUUACCAAGAAUUAAGGCUCAUUAGAAAGCUGUUGUACCUAAAAUAGUGAAAUAUUGGGAUAGGGAUAGAAAAAUAAAUUAAUAGAAUAGGCCAGAGAUUCCAGAAAUAGCCUCAUAUAAAAUUUGAAAUAAUGUAUUAUACAGAUGAUAGUUGAGAAAUGAUGGACAAUUCAAUAAAUGGAGUAAUUGGCUUGCCCUGCUGGGGAAAAAAUGAAGUUAGAUUCUUACUCAACACAUAAUAGAAAAAUAAAUUCCAGUUGGAUUAAAGCUCUAAAUAUGAAAAACAAAAGUUAAAUUUGUUAGAAGAACAUACAGGGGGAAAUAUUUCUAUUCUCAAGGUACAGAACACAAGACACAAAAAGCCAAAAUAAUAAAAGGAGGAAUUGAUUGCAUCAUAAUUUAAAUUUUCUGUGUAACAAAAGACCCCAUCCAAAGCAAAAAGAUAGUGACAGAUUAGAGAAGAUAUUUUCAACAUAUCAGAAUAUAUACAGGUCCUACAAUUUGAUAAGAAAAACAAUCUAAUAAAAAGUUGAGCAGAAGAUAUGAAUGAUUUACAGAAGAGAAAAUCCAAACAACAAAUAAAUACAAGGAAAGAUACUCAAAAUACUCAGUAAUCAGAGAAAUAAAAAAGCAAAAUGAGAUGCUAUUUUUACACCUACCAGAUUGAUAAAAAUUAAAAAGUCUGAAUAUGAAGAUGUUGGGAAACUAAAAUGCAGCUUGUUGGACAACUAAUUUAAUACAACUAAUUUAGAGAUAAAAUUCAGGAUAUGGUCCUAUUUAGUUGAAAACUCAUACAUUAUAUGACACAGCAAUACUUAUACUCAGCAUAUACUUCUAGAUAUACACCUGGGAGAAAUUCUGACACAUGAACACAAAGAGACAUAUGAGAACAUUCACUGUAGCACUUUAAAAUAAAAAUAAAUGGGGGAAAAGCUGGAAAUAAAUUAUAAAAGUUGAAUAAAUUUCUGGUGAACAAAAUGUGCCAUAUCCAUAUGCUUAAAUACUAUGCAGUAGUUAAAAAUGAAUGAACUAGAUCUAGCCUAUGUAUCAGCAUAGACAGAUGUCAAAAAUAAUGUAGAAUUUAUUUAUUUAUUUAUUUUUGGAGACAAAGUUUCAUUCUUGUCAUCCAGGCUGGAGUGCAAUGGUGGGAUCUCAGCUCACUGCAACCUUCUUCUCUUGGGUUCAAGUGAUUCUCCUGCCUCAGCCUCCCAAGCAGCUGGGAUUACAGGUGCCCACCACCACGCCCAACUAAUUUUUGUAUUUUUAGUAGAGAUGGGGUUUCACCAUGUUGGCCAGGCUGGUCUCGAACUCCCGACCUCAGGUGAUCCGCCCACCUCGGCCUCCCAAAGUGCUGGGAUUACAGACGUGAGCCACCAUGCCCCACCAUAAUGUAGAGUUUAAAAAGCAAUUUCCAGAAUAGUACAAUGUAUCAAUUAUUGAGAGUAAGAGAAUGGGGACAAGCAUAGACAGCUGUUUUGAGAAGUUCUGCUGUGAAAUGGUAGGGAUUGUAAUAGCUGGAAGUGGGAGUAUAGUGGCUAAGGAGAGUUAUAAUUAUUUUUUUAAAUAAAUAUUACUACAGCUUGUUUGCAAAUGGGUGGGAAUGAUCUGGUAGACAGAAUGAAAAUCAUAAAGAGCAAAAUCCUUGGGAAGGUGGAAGCUUGGGCUCCAAAGCACAGAAGGAGGAUGCUACUAUAUUUUAGGCAGCUAAAUGGUAAGUGGUCAUGGGAUGGAAUGAAGGCGCUGAAUUUGUAGGCUGUUGAGGAGGUAGAACCUUCAAGAAGUAAUGCUAAUUGGAUGUCUGGUGACAUUAUAAAGGGGAGUCUGGUUAAAAGGCAGGACAAAGGACUUCUCUCCUGUCACAGACUCUGCC
This 9986-nucleotide long non-coding RNA is filed under the name Homo sapiens (human). RNAcentral describes it as "HSALNT0020629". Lineage: Eukaryota; Metazoa; Chordata; Mammalia; Primates; Hominidae. The record is from RNAcentral.